This 1231-nucleotide long non-coding RNA is filed under the name Gopherus agassizii (Agassiz's desert tortoise). RNAcentral's name for it is "lncRNA (ENSGAGG00000012042.1)". The record is from RNAcentral. Lineage: Eukaryota; Metazoa; Chordata; Testudines; Testudinidae.
UGGGUGUGCCGUGGGGCAGGGAGUGAGGCGAGAGGCUGGCCAGGGGGUGCUGAGGGUGCCGUGGGGCAGGGAGUGGGGCGAGGGGCUGGCCAGGGGGUGCUGAGGGUGCCGUGGGGCAGGGAGUGGGGCAAGGGGUUGGCCGGGGGAUUGGGUGGUGCCGUGGGGCAGGGAGAUAUUCUGUGAGGUUUUCUCCCCCGAGGGCGCCGCCCACUAACCUGUCAGCGCGGCCCCGGGGCCCGGAGAUGGAGCAAGGGGCUCCAUGGGACCCCCGAGCCCCCCAGGUCGUCGCCAGCCGGUUACUGGUCCCAGUGGCCGGUUACUGGUCCCGCGUGGCUGGACCCUGGCCGGUUACUGGUCCCAGUGGCCGGUUACUGGUCCCCCGUGGCUGGUCCCUGGCCAGUUACUGGUUCCAGUGGCUGGUUACUGGUCCCGCGUGGCUGGUCCCUGGCCGGUUACUGGUCCCAGUGGCCGGUUACUGGUCCCCCGUGGCUGGACCCUGGCCGGUCACUGGUCCCAGUGGCUGGACCCUGGCUGGUCACUGGUCCCAGUGGCUGGUUACUGGUCCCCCGUGGCUGGUUACUGGUCCCCCGUGGCUGGUCCCUGGCCGGUUACUGGUCCCCCGUGGCUGGUCCCUGGCCGGUUACUGGUUCCAGUGGCCGAUUACUGGUCCCCCAUGGCUGGUCUCUGGCCGGUUACUGGUCCCAGUGUCCAGUUACUGGUCCCAGUGGCUGGUCCCUGGCUGGUUACUGGUCCCAGUGGCUGGUCUCUGGCCGGUUACUGGUCCCCAGUGGCUGGUCCCUGGCCGGUUACUGGUCCCAGUGGCUGGUCCCUGGCCGGUUACUGGUCCCAGUGGCUGGUCCCUGGCCGGUUACUGGUCCCAGUGGCUGGUCCCUGGCUGGUUACUGGUCCCAGUGGCUGGUCUCUGGCCGGUUACUGGUCCCCAGUGGCUGGUCUCUGGCCGGUUACUGGUCCCCAGCGGCUGGUCCCUGGCCGGUUACUGGUCCCCAGUGGCUGGUCCCUGGCCGGUUACUGGUCCCAGUGGCUGGUCUCUGGCCGGUUACUGGUCCCCAGUGGCUGGUCUCUGGCCGGUUACUGGUCCCCAGUGGCUGAUCCUUGGCUGGUUACUGGUCCCAGCGGCUGGUCCCUGGCCGGUUCUCAGCUCCGCGCCGAGCGGCCCCCCCAGGUGGCCGAGCUCCGCCGCAUGCGCCUGCCGGGAAAGUCCCGGGUCCCG